Molecule: long non-coding RNA, 526 nt
Organism: Gadus macrocephalus (Pacific cod)
Lineage: Eukaryota; Metazoa; Chordata; Actinopteri; Gadiformes; Gadidae
Exons: 2
Source: RefSeq, a predicted model, not a curated record
UAUGAAUGAAAGUAAUUUACCUGUUAAUGCGUCCUCUUUGCAGUUUCCAAAAGGCAAAAAAAGGUUUGGCAACCUAUUUGAGCCAGGUGAAAUAUGGUUCUUGGACUAAUUAUAAAGGAAGCAACCAAUUCUGGCAAAUUCUGGUCCUGGCAGGUGGCGACUUCACACCUGUUGGACUUGAAGACUACCUUGUCCAGACAAAUGACGAGGUCCACCUGCGUUUCGUUCCGCCAUCUUCCUGCAGGUUCCUGAAUAACACUGAGGGAUGCUCGACAAUCUUGCAAUAUUUGUCACUCACUUUAACAAAUUUGUUUAUUGGAUAUGGAAAUUAGAUACAAAAUUGACAUGGAAAUGGAACAUAUAAUUAAAUAAAGGAUUGAUUCAUCAUAUGAGUAUCAUUAUACUUUGUUCUCGCACACACACACACACACACACACACACACACACACACACACACACACACACACACACACACACACACACACACACACACACACACACACACACACACACACAGAGACACACA